RNA transcript from Labrus mixtus (cuckoo wrasse), 4632 nucleotides. It is a transcript of the gene named chromosome 7 C6orf89 homolog, with no coding region annotated. The transcript has 9 exons. The record is from RefSeq and is a predicted model, not a curated record. Lineage: Eukaryota; Metazoa; Chordata; Actinopteri; Labriformes; Labridae.
AUGAAGAAGAACAAGAAGAAGAAAACAGUAUCCGGACUGUUUUGUUGCCCAUGUAGCUGGCAAGGAAGUAAAUAUAAAAUACAGUUAUUUUUUUUAAAAAGUGUAACAUCAGAAUGGAAAGAACACGACCCCGGCGCUGGAUCUCACUUUAAGGGGACAUUAUGUUCCUGGUGCCUGCCACAGCUGUAGAUCGACCCGUUUGAAAGAACGUCACCUCCGCUGUCGCCAUGGGAACGUCGAUGAGUGAGCCGUGUAUCUACGACAAACUGUCGGAGAGCAUCGACAUCCUCCGACAGUCAGGCUACCGCUACGGCAUGUCGGAGCGGGAGAUCGAGAGGUUCAUCAAGCAGGUCCUGGAGACCAACGAGCCCAGGAGAGAGCCGCCGCAGUUCCCCAUCAUAAGAGCCACCAUAAAGUUUGUGGUUGCAGUGGGUUUCCUGCUGAUUGUGGUGCUGGCCUUCACGUACCCCCAGAGCACCCCCCAGCUGGGUCUGGUCCACCUGGGCUGCUAUAACUGGUCGUCCCCCCUCAGUCACGUCCGACUGCUGUCCCUCCCCAUCGCCAAGAAGUACAAUCUGCAAGGUUUUCACGAAUGGUGGAGCGCCGGCUCUCUCAGGCAGAAUCUGGUGAACUGUUCGGGCUGUGCAGAGAUCUCCUCGGUGAUGGAGGUCCCAGAGAGCCUCAGAGGGACCGUGACUCUGAGACGAGGGCCACAACUCGUCCUGCUGAAGGGCGGGGAGGCCCUCAGCGUCCAGCGGCAGCAGCUGGAGGAGCUCUAUUUGGCUCAUUCAGGCUCCAUGUCUGUUCUACUGGAGGAGGACGACGGGCUGCAGAACCUCAACCUCGGCCUCCCACAAGGACCCGCCAACUUCACCCUCUUCUGGCGGUUCAGCUCUGGGACCAGGGAGAAGGUGUUGAGGUGGCUCUUCCCAAAGGCUGAGCUCUGCCCCCUGCUGGACAGUGCUGGAACCAUCGUGCAGCGCUGCCUGGUCACACACAGCACAAACUCCCAGAGCAAGGGCGUUGGCGUGUUUGGCUGGCUGGUGGUGGGUGAGGGGUUGCCCACAGUUCGAGUUCUUCCCGUUCAUCGCUGUCAGAAACACUGCAGCUCCUUCAACCUGUGGCUGACACCUGGAGACAUGGGUCUAUGGCAUGUCAAAUGAAUGAUUCUCACAGAUAACUCCUCCCAAUCUCGCUCGACGUAAAUUCUCCGGGUAAUAAUCCUGCUGCGUUCUCACAUCAGCUCACUCGGACUUGAUGCAGAAAAAAAUACUCGGUGGUCUGGCAGGAGAAUCUCCGGAUAAAGUUUGAGCCAAACUUUCUCCAAUUAUUGUUUUUUUUUUUCUUAAUAAUUGAAGUAAAUGAGACCAAUCAGCUGAUGAACAUGAAUACUCUGUCAUCUGACUUUCUCUGUCAGCUGAAACCACAGAUUGAAUUCACAGCAGCAUUUCUAGCAGAAUAGUUUCUCUUUCAGGCUUCACACAAAGCAGACAGUGUUCAAAUUUUCCUAAAUAUUCUCAUCUGCGUUUACACGUCGGCUCACCACGACUUCAAGCAGAAGUUUAAGAGGAGGCUGGCAAAGUCGGGUCGAAAAUGUCAGCCUUUUGCGUCCCUACAUGCAGCUCAACCAGAAAAUGUUGGUGAAUUUGUAGGCUGUGUUUUGUGCAUGUGUGAGGGAGGCUUUAGGUGACAUUGUUUCCUUUUGAUUUUUGCCCUCUGCAGUGUACGCUGACACUCGCUACUGGCAGAUGGAGCUGUUCCCCGGCCGCGGUCAGAACAUCAUCUGUGACGGCUCAGCCUUUUAAACCUUCAGGUGCAGCCAAGUGAAGGACGACAAAGUUCAGGACUGAGGUCUGACUGAAUGUGCGACUUCCUGCUGUGGCGUUUGUCAGAGCUAGUUGCUCGUUCUGUGGCCCCGCCCACAGAUGCCUUAUAACCCCGUCUGAUAAACGAGAACUGUCUGAGAAGUGGAAACCUCUUCACACAGUUUGGACAAAAGGAAAUCUGCAGGUUUGAAGGGUGGAAGUCUGAGGAACUUUUUCACUUUGUCUUCAUCCGAGCAUCACCUGGCUUUAAACUCUGCAGUGUUCACAUGCUCGGGAUGUUCUGUGCUCGUGCCAUAGCAAGAGGAUUUAAGCAAUUAAAAUAUAUAUAUAUAUAUAUAUGUAGACUGUUUCUCUUUCAGAAGGUUGUGAAUCACUGUUGAUUUUCUUUUAGACUCAUGAAUCAUUUUUGAUUCGUUCUGAUGUUGGGUUCAUGAGGGAUGUUUCUUUAGAAUAAUUUCUCGGAUUAAACAGAUUAAAUUCAGACUAGUCGAAUAGUCUCACACAUUAUUUAUUUAACACGGCUUAACACCGGCCAAAAUCAUACUGUGACAAAUUGCUAUUUGAAACAAUUGACGGCUGAUUAAAAACACACCGAAACGUUGUAAUGUGCAUUACUCUGUGUUCAAACGGGUGUGGCUAACGUUAGCAGUGCUAGCACCGCCAGCCUCCGGUCCUCCUUGCAUGUUAACGUCUACACGCCUGUUCUAAAUGUGGUUACACAUCGCUCCGGUUGAGGGUUUUAAAUGACAGUUUUUCCUGCCCUGCUCCUACGAGAUUCCAUCCGUCCACUGUGCUGGUUUACAUCCGGGCAGUAGAGCGGGGAGAGCAGGCCCUUUAACUGGAGCUACAGCCCCAUCUAGUGGUGAGAGACAGCAUUACAGCUUAGACACAACAUUUAACCAGCAUUGUGCGCCUACACUUAUAGAUAUAAGAUAUAAUAAAUAGUUUAACUGACUAGUGGCCAUGUUUAGAUUAAAUCAUUAAGCCGACUAACCUUGAACAUCUCUAGAGUUCAUCCUCUGGCUCCCUCGGUUAUCAGUCAGUCAGAGAUUAAAAGAUGUGACAGAGUAGACGUCGAUCAAUCGCAGUCUGUGUUGUUGAUGCACAAACAGAUUCCACAUCAUCACAUCACUCUUUUGUUAGCUUGUCAUCGAUACUCGGACUGGCAACACUCACUACAACACUGUAUCCAUACUUUAACACUUUUCAAUACCACAUUUUUAAAAAUGAUGCAAUCUCUAUUUUAAUGAUCAGUAGUAUCAAAAAGCACCCUAACUUACACAAACAGGGCACUGUCUGAGUCGCACAAAUACACUGGCUACAUAUUGGUACAAUUUAAACCGUGUGCAGGAGUUCGCCUGCUAUUUUUGGUAACGAGAAACCGCAAAUUGGGGAACUAGGACUUUGAUUUUUGCCAUCGCGGUGUUGAAACAGGUAUAGAAAUGGUCUGAAAUUUGCAGAAAUUGAGCAAAUAUUGAGUAAACGGUUAAUUAAUAUCUUCAGCUGUGUAAAGACCCGCAGCUUUCAGUGAGCACACUUCCUGUUUGCAGUGCAUCCUGGGAACUGUCUGUUCAAUGGGACUUCCUGAUUGUUGCUACCUGCUGCUUCUUCAUUUCCUGCUCUUCAUCUUCAUCUUCAUGUUCAAGGUCCAGUUCACUCAAAACUCAAACCACAUUAAACAUACUCAGCGUGUUCUGCGGAUAAUUAAGGGUUAAUCGAUAAAGGCUUGUUGACACAAGUUCAUUUUAUUACAACUAUCUUAUCGACGUCGGGGGCAAAAAUCUCUGAGACUGAAAUCGUAAAACCUCCACGUGUUAAACUAAAACGAUGUGACUGAAAAGAUCAGAUCAAUCCUUCAAAGAGAAUUUGUAUUUUUUUGUUUUUUGGGUGAACUGAGCCUUUAACCACCAGCAUCAGCAAACAUCUGACUUUAUUUUUCAUCCUUCAUGUUCAUCCGAUGUUUCCUUUAUUGUUCUUUAACUGAUCUAAUGACAAAGCUGCUUCCCUCAUUUCAGUGUCUUUAUUUAUUGUUAUGAUUGUAUGUAUAUAUGUUCAAGCCAUGAAUUUUAAUAAUAAUAAUAAUAAUAAUAAUAAUGUGUUGUAAUAUUAUUAUUCUUGGAUGAGCUGUCAUUUCCUGUACAGAUUGAUUCUCUGUGAAGCAGUUGAGGGUUGAUUUUGUGGGUCUGUAAAGAGAAUUAUAUUGAAUACGUUUGCCAAAGUUUCUCUGAUUUAAAGAUGAUCUACAUCUUUUUGUUUAAGUGUCCCAAAAAAAAAAAAUCCCUAAUCUACAAACAUCAGCAGUCGGGAUGCUCGAACAAAAAGAUAGCGGGUGCCGUCUCGUAAAGUGGACGCGUUGCAUAGAGGUGAUGGUGUCAUGAGGAAAUUAAAUGCUGUCAUGCAUUUGCUUCCAAAUGUUUGGGAUUGUUAUGUUUUGAAGUGGUAUGAACACAAAUGAUCAAAGUUUUUUACUCAAAGAAGAACGUGUAACUUUUUGAUCCAGUAGAUGUCGCCCUUGAGCAUGAGCAUGAAACCAAAAAAAAUUCUGUUUGGUGACACCUCCCCUAUUCUGAAGCCUCCACUCUCCUCCAGCGACACACCUCCAACCCCUCUCCCCUCCCGUUCUCCUUGUCUUGAGCCACAUUGUUGCGUUAGCAGGCUGAUGGUAGCGGGAUGAGCCGGCCAUGUAAACAUGAAAACACAGCUCUGACAACAACACAGCCAGCCUGACUCAUCGCUCCUCACUCAUUGUAGACAAUCAUUCAUCCUGUGACAUUUUAAACAUAAAUAAAUCAUAAAUCCAGUCUAA